ACGCUCGACACCUACGGAGGCAGCAGUGGGGAAUAUUGCACAAUGGGGGAAACCCUGAUGCAGCGACGCCGCGUGAGCGAAGAAGUAUUUCGGUAUGUAAAGCUCUAUCAGCAGGGAAGAAACUGACGGUACCUGACUAAGAAGCACCGGCUAAAUACGUGCAAGCAGCCGCGGUAAUCUGAGCGGGCUGGCAAGGC
Molecule: ribosomal RNA, 197 nt
Filed under: uncultured bacterium
Lineage: Bacteria
Description: partial 16S ribosomal RNA
Rfam family: Bacterial small subunit ribosomal RNA
Source: RNAcentral